AUGAAGAACGUAGCGAAAUGCGAUAAGUAAUGUGAAUUGCAGAAUUCAGUGAAUCAUCGAAUCUUUGAACGCACAUUGCGCCCUCUGGUAUUCCGGGGGGCAUGCCUGUUCGAGCGUCAUUACAACCCUCAAGCUUUGCUUGGUAUUGGACAUUGCCAGUUUCUGGCAGGUCUUAAAAUCAGUGGCGGUGCCAUUUGGCUUCAAGCGUUGUAAUUCUUCUCGCUUUGGAGAUCCAGGUGGUUACUUGCCAAUAACCCCCAAUUUUUUCAGGUUGACCUCGGAUCAGGUAGGGAUACCCGCUGAACUUAAGCAUAUCAAUAAGCGGAGGA
Molecule: unclassified non-coding RNA, 329 nt
Filed under: soil metagenome
Description: partial contains 5.8S ribosomal RNA, internal transcribed spacer 2, and large subunit ribosomal RNA
Rfam family: 5.8S ribosomal RNA (bases 1-119)
Source: RNAcentral